This 490-nucleotide ribosomal RNA is filed under the name uncultured bacterium. RNAcentral describes it as "partial 16S ribosomal RNA". It matches the Rfam family "Bacterial small subunit ribosomal RNA", at positions 30 to 507 of the family's 1533-position model. The record is from RNAcentral.
AUUGAACGCUGGCGGCAGGCCUAACACAUGCAAGUCGAACGGUAACAGGAAGCAGCUUGCUGCUUCGCUGACGAGUGGCGGACGGGUGAGUAAUGUCUGGGAAACUUCCUGAUGGAGGGGGAUAACUACUGGAAACGGUAGCUAAUACCGCAUAACGUCGCAAGACCAAAGAGGGGGACCUUAGGGCCUCUUGCCAUCGGAUGUGCCCAGAUGGGAUUAGCUAGUAGGUGGGGUAACGGCUCACCUAGGCGACGAUCCCUAGCUGGUCUGAGAGGAUGACCAGCCACACUGGAACUGAGACACGGUCCAGACUCCUACGGGAGGCAGCAGUGGGGAAUAUUGCACAAAGGGCGCAAGCCUGAUGCAGCCAUGCCGCGUGUAUGAAGAAGGCCUUCGGGUUGUAAAGUACUUUCAGCGGGGAGGAAGGGAGUAAAGUUAAUACCUUUGCUCAUUGACGUUACCCGCAGAAGAAGCACCGGCUAACUCCGUG